RNAcentral lists this microRNA precursor (60 nucleotides) under Melibe leonina. RNAcentral describes it as "microRNA mle-mir-216a precursor". Its record names the gene mle-mir-216a. Lineage: Eukaryota; Metazoa; Mollusca; Gastropoda; Nudibranchia; Dendronotidae. The record is from miRBase by way of RNAcentral.
UAAUCUCAGCUGGUAAUUCUGAGUGUACCUGGCAACCUCAAGUUACCAGCCGAGGUUACA